Silurus meridionalis is the source of this 941-nucleotide long non-coding RNA. RefSeq lists it as uncharacterized. The transcript is spliced from 6 exons. The record is from RefSeq and is a predicted model, not a curated record. NCBI's taxonomy places the organism in Eukaryota, Metazoa, Chordata, Actinopteri, Siluriformes, Siluridae.
CAUGACAAACAGCAUGGAUUAGCAAAUAACACUGAAUGUGACUAUUAAUUAGACUUAAAAUUAUUACAUAUUGGGCUGUAAAUUCUUGCCAACAUUUGAAACAUUUAUACAACUGAGCAGUUACGGGCUUAAGGGCUUUGCAGGGCAGCAUGACCUUCUGACCAGAAGUCCAAUAUCUUAACCAACUGAGCUACCACUUCAGUCAAUGGAACUGAGGACUGACUACUCAUACCUGACACCCUGAGUGAUCAUAAUCUGCCUCAUGCAGUAGCAACACAUAUCUCAUGUUUUAUACUCUGCUGCUCAUGCCUGCUUCAGCACCAUCCUGCCCUGCUGUUAACAUCACCUGCUGUAUUGCUGCCGUGAACGCUGCAGGUGCAUGUUGAACAAAGCGAUUAGCUUGGAGUUAAUGCAUCACUUAGCCACACGUGACCAGCCCAUCAUGAACAUCCGUCAGCCCAUGCUGCUAUACCACCUGAUCACUGCCAGAAGCCAGCAAAGUAAUUCACCAGAUCUCGAGCCAUCCCAUCAACACCAGCUGUGGAAAUUCAAUCGUUGUGCUUCUGAGGCCUGAAUCAAAGAGUUCAUCCCAGAGCAGUUCAAUAAGAUUUAGGUCAGGAGACUGGGCAGGCCAUUCCAUGAUAGAUGACACUCCAGAUGACUGCAUGCUCUAUAAAUAACACUUUUUGAACAUGGAGUAUUGCAACUAUGGCAUGAUAAAUGGAUACCAUUCAACAAUCAUUCAAAGGGCAGGAAUUGGUGUUCCAACUGUAGCACAGGUCUGACCCAUGGAUUCUCAAAAUCGUGCUGAACAGAGGAAGAAGCAAAAACACUAAAAACUAUGCUAACACCUUUCUUGUGUACAUUUGACCCCUAUUGUUACCCAUGUCCACUUGUUAUAAUGAAUAAAAUAACUGAAUAAAUUUUCAGAUGCCGCUUUA